Cucurbita moschata (crookneck pumpkin) is the source of this 1363-nucleotide long non-coding RNA. RefSeq lists it as uncharacterized. Lineage: Eukaryota; Viridiplantae; Streptophyta; Magnoliopsida; Cucurbitales; Cucurbitaceae. The record is from RefSeq and is a predicted model, not a curated record. The transcript has 5 exons.
CGAAAAAGCGAUCUGGUCUGCAAGAAAAGAAAAAGAAAAAGAGAGAGAAACAAAAAGAAGGAGGAGUUAGGGUUUUUACGAAGGAGAAGAAGAAGGAGGGAAGAACGCCCAAACUCGAACACCGAAGCAAUCUCGAUCUCAGGUUUCCUACCGGAUCUACUUAGAGGAUCAAGAGGAGCGGUCUGAGCGUUUGGAUCGUUCGUUUCAGGUGAUAAACGGGCAAGAGCGCGAGGUAAGUCGGCGACCUCGUUUGUUUCACUACAGAUCUGUGAGUUUCGGAUAAUUUAGGUCUUAAUAAUCUAGUUGCAAUACCUUAGGUAAGGAUUCUUCCAAUUUUUCGGAGGAAUCGCGGCCAAAAAUCGUAUCGGGAAAGGAAAUCGAGAAUAGUCCAAUUCCGGUUGGUAUGGAAUUUGACUGGAAUCUGGAAAUAGGAAGAACUCAGGCAAUCGGCGACGAACACGCGGCGGCCGAAUAGGAGGGAGACGCGUCCGGCAACAAGAGGGAGACGCGUACGACUGCGACCCAGAAACCCAAACCGGAAACCGACUCGCGGUCCAACCCGAAACCUACUGCCAGUCCCUGCACGCCACGUGUCAUGUCCUGAAAAAUAGAAGGGUAAAUCUGCGUCCACCGGGGUUCGAAGCGUGCCUCUGCCCGGGUUGGGCCGUUUAAAAUGAUGGGUUGGGCCGUUUUAAACAUUUGGGAAAAAAAUAAAAGAGUAGAUAACAAACCCUAACCUUUUAGUUUCUGCCGCCGCGAGAACGUAAGGAGACGACCCUUUGUCUGGUUCUUCAAUCACUUCAUCCUCUUGGCCGGCAAACCUAUGCCUCGUUUGGUAGUAAUCACUCGUGUGCAUCAAGGUGUUCCUUGGCUCGGUCUCGUUAGUCCUCUCUUCCCAGAAUAAUGGUUGUGUUAAUCUCUGCAGGUGAGGUCUAAGGGUUCGUUGGAGGCUGACGUUUUUUGAAGUCGCCGGAGUUUGGUUACGCUCGCCGUAAAACCUAGUGAGAUUCGUUGGAGGCUGUUUUCCAAGUCGCCGGAGUACUCGCCGGAAAACUUCGGUGAGGUCUAAGGGUUUGGAGACAGACUUAUUCGAAGUCGCCGGAGUUUGGGUUACGGUCGCCGGAAAACUUUGGUAUUAUCCAUCUUUUUCAAUUUUUCUUUCUUUCUUCGUCUUUGUCUCUUUGUCUCGGUAACUUUUAAAUGAAAAUGACAUCUAACCUCUCGUUUACAAAUUUAGUGAUGUUUAACUUUUGGGUUUACAUAUUUAGGUGACAGUGACAUUUAACAUCUGAAUAGACAGUGACAGUGACAUGUAACAUUUUCUUUGCUAUAAGAAGAAAUAUACAUUUUUUCCUCUCUUCCA